CCAUCGCUAAACGAACUCAAACUGAAUAAGUCUUGCAGAAUUUAUUACCAUCUAACAAUUGGCGGUAAGGUUAUAUUUAAGCAAUUUGCAUUCGAAUACACAUCAUUUUACACAUGCAACAGACGAUUGGCUAUGAUUAAAACGAAUGAAUGUGACUUGUUCACUCAAGGUCACACGCAAUAAUGCCACCCCUCAUGCCGCCAUAACACACCCUCGGUGGGGGUAAGCGCAUUGUGUUGCGAUCUUGGCGGCCUUUGCCACCCCUUCAGACGCCAUGUUUGCCAUGACACGGACAUUUUUCUAAAGUGAUGAUUAACGGAAUUGAAUAGAGAGGAAGUGCUGGGCUUAAUUGUGUGUUAUAUUUCGUUGUGUUAUAUAAUUUACUAUUUUUCAUCUGCCGACAAGGUUAUGACUCUGAAUGGGAGGUUUAUUUUUUCUAAUAUAAAAAAAUUAAUGAAUUAAUGAAAAGUGUGAAUUAUUUUAAAAUGCGUCAAUGGGGCUAUUGUCGCCAACAAAUGGUAUAAAAGUGGCGUUUGGGUGGUACUGACGCAAACACACAACGAGAUGAAGCUUGUACUUUGCACUUUACUUGUAAUGUGCCUAAUUUUGGUUGAGGCUAGACCUCAUCACCGGGAUGAUCAUCCGUCCUUGACGAGAGGUGGUGCUCAAAAUCGGGGGGCUAACUGUCAUGGCAGACAUGGGGGAAGAGGCGGCGGCGGCGAAACUACUACAGCAGCGGCAGAUACCACUACCACAGCAGCUACAACAACAGCAGCGGCUCGUUAAUGAGAUUAUCACUAUAAAAAUUAAUGGCUAAUAAGAACAUGGUGUAUAUGAUGUAAACAAAUAUAGGAUACUAGAGACAUUUCCGUUUUUCUCUAUAAAAGCCCCUCCAUAGCAUUUCCUUGACAUACAGCAAGUAUGUUUUCUGUCCCAGCUAUAUUUAUAGUGUUAAUGGGGUGGGAGGUGCUACAAGUCAAACCUCACCCUCUUUCUGCUGUUAAUGGAAACAUGGGAAAGGACGUAGUGGGAGUGGCUAAGAAUGGAGAAAAAGGUCAUGUAUUGGAAGUUGCUGGUAAGGGUGCCAGUUGUUUUGGGAUGGGACCUAAUGGCAGAGGUGGAGUUGGAGCAACAACACCAGCGCCUGUGGAAGUAUAAUACACUAGGAAGAAACAUGUUUUAAAUGGUUUAAUAAAAAAUAAUUACACGCA
Molecule: long non-coding RNA, 1211 nt
Organism: Zophobas morio
Lineage: Eukaryota; Metazoa; Arthropoda; Insecta; Coleoptera; Tenebrionidae
Exons: 5
Source: RefSeq, a predicted model, not a curated record